This 2665-nucleotide small RNA is filed under the name Pongo abelii (Sumatran orangutan). RNAcentral describes it as "retained intron". Lineage: Eukaryota; Metazoa; Chordata; Mammalia; Primates; Hominidae. The record is from RNAcentral.
AGGGGCACCCAGAGACAUGGAAUGAGGCAGACUCAGAGGUCUGUAUUUUUUAUUGUGGUAAAAUAGCUAUACCACAAUAUUGGCCAACUUAACGAUUUUUACGUGAACAAUUCAGUGGCAUUAAGUGUGUUUAGAAGGUGGUGCAACUGCUUUGAGUCUCUGCUGGUGAUGUCACUUUGGCAAAGGGACCAGAAGAGCCACCAGUGUCAGGCCUGCUUAGAGUUGUUUGGAGGCAGCAUGGACACAGGUGCCUGUCUCUGCCCGCUAGCUGGGCUGCAGUGCCUCCUAACAAUGCUCCCAGGGCUGGGCCAGCCCCGAGCCUGGAGGUGGGCAGGGCUGCAGCUGCCUCCUGGGCCACUAGAGGGCACGUGGGAGCCGUUCACAUGCACCCCAGGCCCCACUUCCUGGGCAGGGUGCCCGGCACCUCAAAACGAGUGCUGCUCUGAGCUUGUUGGGAUGGAUCUUUCCGUCUUUCUGCUUCUGCCUGCUGGCAAUGCAUGGGGUCCUGCGCCCCCAUUUCUGCCUCGGUGUCACAGGGCACACCCCUCCCCCUCCAAGGUGUCUCUUCUCAGGACACCACUCCCGUUGGAUUUAGGGCCCACCCUACCCCAGUGUGAUCUCAUCUUCACUAGUCACCCUGCAACGAGCCUAUUUCCAAAUAAGCCUGCGUUCUAAGGUACUGGUGGUCAGGACCUCAGCGUGUCUUUUGGGGGGACACAGGGCCCCCAAGAUACCCCACAGCAAGUGACAAGGGGAAGUGAUGAGAUCAGGGUCCCAGGACCUGCCAAGUCUCCCCACACAUGGGGGAGCAGCGGGGUGCCCACAUCCUUCAGUUGCUGACAUGCCCCAGCCCAGGGCCCUGGUGCAAGGAGAGCUGCUCUCUGUGCCCUCCUGGGGCAGGUGCCUGCUGUGCUUCUCACAGGCCUCCUUGUCUUUCAGAAUCAGUUGUCUGGGAACCUGCUGAGGAAAUUCAAAAACAGCAACGGGUGGCAGAAGCUGUGGGUGGUGUUCACAAACUUCUGCCUGUUCUUCUAUAAGUCACACCAGGUAAGUGUCUCACACAGGGCAGGUGGCCCUGGGACCUUGGGGGUGGCAGCAUGAGGGGAGGGGGCCGCCCUCCUCUGGAAGGACUCAGGCCUCUUGAGCUCCAGGUGUCACGGGGGUGACAGGGAUGCUGGCGGGGGACCCUGUCCACCCAAGGCCCUCAACUCUAGGAAAGACUGACAUCAUCCACUGAAGGACCACUUCCACCCUAGGAAGGGCCCCUUGUCUUCUGGCUGGACAAGGGACGGAGGUUGGCUUUAUCCACAGCUCAGUCGUGAUGGGAUUUGCCACCCGGGCCAUCACAUACAGGCCAACACUGGCUGCCAUGGUCCCUUCCAGGCCCACGCCCGAAGGGGGAGCUGCCCUGGCUCCCGAGUGCCUGUGUGAUGUGGGGCAGCCGCCAGGCCCAGCAGCAGAAGCUGCCCCCGAAAAGCCACUUUGCUUUGUUUCCCCUUUCCAGGACAAUCAUCCCCUCGCCAGCCUGCCUCUGCUCGGCUACUCGCUCACCAUCCCCUCUGAGUCCGAGAACAUCCACAAAGACUACGUGUUCAAGCUGCACUUCAAGUCCCACGUCUACUACUUCAGGGCGGAAAGCGAGUACACGUUCGAAAGGUAGAUGCCCCCUUCCCAUGCACAGGGCCUUGCAGAAGAGAACCCCUCUUCCAAACAUCAAGAUUUCUCCCAAGUCAGCCAGUGAGAUGGCCCCACCCUUCCCUGCCAUCUAAGUGUUUAGACCUGGGGUCCCACUGCCCGACGCCAGCAGGCGAUUCUGUUCUCAUGGCAGAAAGUGGGGUCCCGACUUCCCUGCGCCCUUAACCAGCACGGUGCUGGCUGAGGCCCUAGACAUCUCACUUGUACAUCUCCGAUGUAUGUGUAUGGGAUGAUGAAGCUAAGCCCCAGUGAGACUGCCUACAUGGUGUAAUGCCAGGGGCCGCAGACUUCAUUUAGCCACGAAAUAAAUGAAACAGUCAGGCCUAAGACUGUUCCUGCAAUUCACAUUUUGAAUAGAGAUCCUGGGCCUCUGCAAAUUGCAUCCCCAAGCCAACUACCUGUGCAGUUGGCACUGCUGAGCCGCCCGCUGGGAGGCAGGAGGGGAGGGGUCCUCAGCAAUAUGCUGAGCACUUCCUAAACAAUAUCACCUGAAAAAGGAACCUAGAGAGGAGAGCCAUUCUCAAAUCUGAUCCUGGACUGAGCUUGAGAGCUGAGUUUAUCCAAGUUGGGAUUUUGCUAUUAUUGUGACAAAGGGUCCAGCCUUGCAGUCCAGAUCCUGAAAGGCCUGGGACAAGGCCAGACAAUUUGGGGAGUCUGUCCUGCAUCGUGUAGGAUGUUCAGCGGCAUCCCUGGCCACCCACUAGAUGCCCGCAGCAACCCCUCAGUUGGGACAUCUAAAAAUGUCUCCAGACUUCACCAAGUGGGACAGCAUUGCACCCAUUUGAGAACCACUGGUAUAGAGCAAAUACAGAUAAAUAAAGAGGGAGAUUCAGGCGUGGUGGUGCAAGCCUGUAGUCCCAUCUCCUGGGAGGCCGAGGCUGGAGGAUCGAUUGAGCCCAGGAGGUAGCUACAGUGAGCGAUAACUGCACCACUGAAGUCCAGUAUGAGUGACAGAGCCAGACCCUGUCUC